ACUAAGCGUACACGGUGGAUGCCCUGGCAGUCAGAGGCGAUGAAGGACGUGCUAAUCUGCGAUAAGCGUCGGUAAGGUGAUAUGAACCGUUAUAACCGGCGAUUUCCGAAUGGGGAAACCCAGUGUGAUUCGUCACACUAUCAUUAACUGAAUCCAUAGGUUAAUGAGGCGAACCGGGGGAACUGAAACAUCUAAGUACCCCGAGGAAAAGAAAUCAACCGAGAUUCCCCCAGUAGCGGCGAGCGAACGGGGAGGAGCCCAGAGCCUGAAUCAGUGUGUGUGUUAGUGGAAGCGUCUGGAAAGGCGCGCGAUACAGGGUGACAGCCCCGUACACAAAAAUGCACAUGCUGUGAGCUCGAUGAGUAGGGCGGGACACGUGGUAUCCUGUCUGAAUAUGGGGGGACCAUCCUCCAAGGCUAAAUACUCCUGACUGACCGAUAGUGAACCAGUACCGUGAGGGAAAGGCGAAAAGAACCCCGGCGAGGGGAGUGAAAAAGAACCUGAAACCGUGUACGUACAAGCAGUGGGAGCACAGAGCAAUCUGUGUGACUGCGUACCUUUUGUAUAAUGGGUCAGCGACUUAUAUUCUGUAGCAAGGUUAACCGAAUAGGGGAGCCGAAGGGAAACCGAGUCUUAACUGGGCGUUAAGUUGCAGGGUAUAGACCCGAAACCCGGUGAUCUAGCCAUGGGCAGGUUGAAGGUUGGGUAACACUAACUGGAGGACCGAACCGACUAAUGUUGAAAAAUUAGCGGAUGACUUGUGGCUGGGGGUGAAAGGCCAAUCAAACCGGGAGAUAGCUGGUUCUCCCCGAAAGCUAUUUAGGUAGCGCCUCGUGAAUUCAUCUCCGGGGGUAGAGCACUGUUUCGGCAAGGGGGUCAUCCCGACUUACCAACCCGAUGCAAACUGCGAAUACCGGAGAAUGUUAUCACGGGAGACACACGGCGGGUGCUAACGUCCGUCGUGAAGAGGGAAACAACCCAGACCGCCAGCUAAGGUCCCAAAGUCAUGGUUAAGUGGGAAACGAUGUGGGAAGGCCCAGACAGCCAGGAUGUUGGCUUAGAAGCAGCCAUCAUUUAAAGAAAGCGUAAUAGCUCACUGGUCGAGUCGGCCUGCGCGGAAGAUGUAACGGGGCUAAACCAUGCACCGAAGCUGCGGCAGCGACACUGUGUGUUGUUGGGUAGGGGAGCGUUCUGUAAGCCUGUGAAGGUGUGCUGUGAGGCAUGCUGGAGGUAUCAGAAGUGCGAAUGCUGACAUAAGUAACGAUAAAGCGGGUGAAAAGCCCGCUCGCCGGAAGACCAAGGGUUCCUGUCCAACGUUAAUCGGGGCAGGGUGAGUCGACCCCUAAGGCGAGGCCGAAAGGCGUAGUCGAUGGGAAACAGGUUAAUAUUCCUGUACUUGGUGUUACUGCGAAGGGGGGACGGAGAAGGCUAUGUUGGCCGGGCGACGGUUGUCCCGGUUUAAGCGUGUAGGCUGGUUUUCCAGGCAAAUCCGGAAAAUCAAGGCUGAGGCGUGAUGACGAGGCACUACGGUGCUGAAGCAACAAAUGCCCUGCUUCCAGGAAAAGCCUCUAAGCAUCAGGUAACAUCAAAUCGUACCCCAAACCGACACAGGUGGUCAGGUAGAGAAUACCAAGGCGCUUGAGAGAACUCGGGUGAAGGAACUAGGCAAAAUGGUGCCGUAACUUCGGGAGAAGGCACGCUGAUAUGUAGGUGAAGUCCCUCGCGGAUGGAGCUGAAAUCAGUCGAAGAUACCAGCUGGCUGCAACUGUUUAUUAAAAACACAGCACUGUGCAAACACGAAAGUGGACGUAUACGGUGUGACGCCUGCCCGGUGCCGGAAGGUUAAUUGAUGGGGUCAGCGCAAGCGAAGCUCUUGAUCGAAGCCCCGGUAAACGGCGGCCGUAACUAUAACGGUCCUAAGGUAGCGAAAUUCCUUGUCGGGUAAGUUCCGACCUGCACGAAUGGCGUAAUGAUGGCCAGGCUGUCUCCACCCGAGACUCAGUGAAAUUGAACUCGCUGUGAAGAUGCAGUGUACCCGCGGCAAGACGGAAAGACCCCGUGAACCUUUACUAUAGCUUGACACUGAACAUUGAGCCUUGAUGUGUAGGAUAGGUGGGAGGCUUUGAAGUGUGGACGCCAGUCUGCAUGGAGCCGACCUUGAAAUACCACCCUUUAAUGUUUGAUGUUCUAACGUGGACCCGUGAUCCGGGUUGCGGACAGUGUCUGGUGGGUAGUUUGACUGGGGCGGUCUCCUCCUAAAGAGUAACGGAGGAGCACGAAGGUUGGCUAAUCCUGGUCGGACAUCAGGAGGUUAGUGCAAUGGCAUAAGCCAGCUUGACUGCGAGCGUGACGGCGCGAGCAGGUGCGAAAGCAGGUCAUAGUGAUCCGGUGGUUCUGAAUGGAAGGGCCAUCGCUCAACGGAUAAAAGGUACUCCGGGGAUAACAGGCUGAUACCGCCCAAGAGUUCAUAUCGACGGCGGUGUUUGGCACCUCGAUGUCGGCUCAUCACAUCCUGGGGCUGAAGUAGGUCCCAAGGGUAUGGCUGUUCGCCAUUUAAAGUGGUACGCGAGCUGGGUUUAGAACGUCGUGAGACAGUUCGGUCCCUAUCUGCCGUGGGCGCUGGAGAACUGAGGGGGGCUGCUCCUAGUACGAGAGGACCGGAGUGGACGCAUCACUGGUGUUCGGGUUGUCAUGCCAAUGGCACUGCCCGGUAGCUAAAUGCGGAAGAGAUAAGUGCUGAAAGCAUCUAAGCACGAAACUUGCCCCGAGAUGAGUUCUCCCUGACCCUUUAAGGGUCCUGAAGGAACGUUGAAGACGACGACGUUGAUAGGCCGGGUGUGUAAGCGCAGCGAUGCGUUGAGCUAACCGGUACUAAUGAACCGUGAGGCUUAACC
RNAcentral lists this ribosomal RNA (2894 nucleotides) under Escherichia coli. RNAcentral describes it as "bacterial LSU rRNA". It matches the Rfam family "Bacterial large subunit ribosomal RNA". The record is from RNAcentral. RNAcentral also lists the same sequence under 1 other name. Lineage: Bacteria; Pseudomonadati; Pseudomonadota; Gammaproteobacteria; Enterobacterales; Enterobacteriaceae.